This 517-nucleotide ribosomal RNA is filed under the name uncultured bacterium. RNAcentral describes it as "bacterial SSU rRNA". It matches the Rfam family "Bacterial small subunit ribosomal RNA", at positions 62 to 552 of the family's 1533-position model. The record is from RNAcentral.
UCGAACGAGAACGUCUUAGCUUGCUAAGAUUAGUAAAGUGGCGCACGGGUGAGUAACGCGUGGGUAAUCUACCUCCGACUCGGGGAUAACAUCGCGAAAGUGAUGCUAAUACCGGAUAACAUCUAUUCUGCUUCGGCAUUAUAGAUCAAAGGUGGUCUCUACAUGUAAGCUACUGAUUGGAGAUGAGCCCGCGUACCAUUAGCUUGUUGGUAGGGUAAUGGCCUACCAAGGCUACGAUGGUUAGCUGGUCUGAGAGGAUGAUCAGCCACACUGGAACUGACACACGGUCCAGACUCCUACGGGAGGCAGCAGUGAGGAAUUUUGCGCAAUGGGGGAAACCCUGACGCAGCAACGCCGCGUGAGUGAUGAAGGCUUUCGGGUCGUAAAGCUCUGUCAAGUGGGAAGAAAUAGCCUGAUGCUAAUAUCAUCAGGAAUUGACGGUACCACUGAAGGAAGCACCGGCUAACUCCGUGCCAGCAGCCGCGGUAAUACGGGGGUGCAAGCGUUAUUCGGAAUC